This 550-nucleotide ribosomal RNA is filed under the name uncultured bacterium. Its description in RNAcentral is "bacterial SSU rRNA". It matches the Rfam family "Bacterial small subunit ribosomal RNA", at positions 373 to 915 of the family's 1533-position model. The record is from RNAcentral.
UGACGAAGUCUGCACGGACUAUGCCGCGUGAACGAUGAAGGUCUUCGGAUCGUAAAGUUCUGUUGUCAGGGAAAACAAGUGCCGUGCGAAUAGAGCGGACCUUGACGGUACCUGACGAGGAAGCCCCGGCUAACUACGUGCCAGCAGCCGCGGUAAUACGUAGGGGGCAAGCGUUGUCCGGAAUUAUUGGGCGUAAAGCGCGCGCAGGCGGUUCCUUAAGUCUGAUGUGAAAGCCCACGGCUCAACCGUGGAGGGUCAUUGGAAACUGGGGAACUUGAGUACAGAAGAGGAGAGUGGAAUUCCACGUGUAGCGGUGAAAUGCGUAGAUAUGUGGAGGAACACCAGUGGCGAAGGCGACUCUCUGGUCUGUAACUGACGCUGAGGCGCGAAAGCGUGGGGAGCAAACAGGAUUAGAUACCCUGGUAGUCCACGCCGUAAACGAUGAGUGCUAAGUGUUAGGGGGCUUCCACCCCUUAGUGCUGAAGUUAACGCAUUUAAGCACUCCGCCUGAGGAGUACGGGCGCAAGGCUGAAACUCAAAGGAAUUGACG